RNAcentral lists this non-coding RNA (27 nucleotides) under Rattus norvegicus (Norway rat). The record is from RNAcentral. Lineage: Eukaryota; Metazoa; Chordata; Mammalia; Rodentia; Muridae.
UGACUGUCCACUCUAUGACUCUUAGAC